This is a long non-coding RNA of Saccostrea cuccullata (small rock oyster), 1250 nucleotides long. RefSeq lists it as uncharacterized. Lineage: Eukaryota; Metazoa; Mollusca; Bivalvia; Ostreida; Ostreidae. The transcript is spliced from 3 exons. The record is from RefSeq and is a predicted model, not a curated record.
CUCAGGCAAAAUUAAAAAUAUACAAAUUAGAAUGAAAAAAUGCAAUAAUGGAAGGAUUGACAGAUAUACAUGCUUCAUUUUGUGAAAAUGGUGAGGAUUUACAGUAAAACAGGAAACAAAGAAGGAUGAUGGGAGAAACAAAAUUACAGGUUGUUUCUUAUGAUGUCUAUGACGCCUUGUCACAAAGACCAGUACUCUGAUGAGAUGUGGGAGCCGGAAUAAUGCCAAUAAGGAGGAGGGCAGGAAGCAGUUUCUGGAAGUGAAUUUGAAGAUGAUGAGAAAAACUUUCCAUUUUCCAAAAAGUCACUAAAGAGUUUGACACAUUUGACACGGAGAGCCUUACAGAAUAUGGAAAUGAAAUCUAAUGUAAGUGAAUCAAGAUCAGAUUCUUGGAAGAGUUCCAGCUCAAUGUCACUUAGAAGAUUAGAUGGUCCUUCCAGUAGAGACACUGAAUUGUGAAGGAGGAGAUGUGGGUUGUCAGAACAGCAUUGGAGGAGUUCAACGAGUCUUCUGUAGAUGGUGCCCAUGUCGCUUGCACACAUGUUAUUGUCUUCUGCAAUACUCAUGUAAGGUUCUGUAAUUUUGAUGGAGAGUAUACCAAGACAUCUCACUAUUGCCAGAAUGAAUUUAUUUUGUAAAGCACAAAGAAUGAAUUUCUGCACCUGAUUUAAAGACGGUUUUGUAGAAGAAAGAUAUUGCAAAAUGUGUUUUUUGAGAUAGAAUGUUCUUGCAGAAUUGAAGAAAACAGUAUUGAAUCUAGUGCCUCUGUGAUUCAUGAUAGGAAUUUUUGAAAUGUUGAGAGUAUCUUUAAUGUAGGUGGACGUAAACAGAGGAUCUCCAGGGCCAUGGAAAAGUUUAGACACGGAACGCAGAAGAUAAGACGUGUUUGAUUCAGACCAGGAAGAGGAAUUUAUAUUUAAUUUGUGUUCUUUUUCAAUGUUACUUAUUUCCUUAAGACAGACAUCUGAGAAUUGGAGAAGGGGGUGAACUGCACAUUUAAAAGAAUGGUAUUUGUCGUUAUUUACACUGGAUCCAAGAAUUUUGUUAACUUUUUCUUCGGUUGCACUCCUAUCCGUCAUGAAAUUUGAAUUUUUUUCUAAAAUUUGACCUUGAUCUGAACUGACCGUAUCAUCCAAAAUUUCGUUGGUGCAGUCGACAUAUGUGGAGCUUUUGGAAUCGGCUACUUCUCUUAAACCCAUUGUGAGAGUUUUUUGAUUUGUUGAUACCUCAACCCCAUAAAAGUGCCUUCC